AACGGCCGUACCAUGCUGAAUAUACCGGUUCUCGUUAGAUCACCGAAGUCAAGCAUCAUUGGGCGAGGUCAGUACUUGGGUGGGUGACCACCUGGGAACACCACGUGCCGUU
Molecule: ribosomal RNA, 112 nt
Filed under: Caerostris darwini
Lineage: Eukaryota; Metazoa; Arthropoda; Arachnida; Araneae; Araneidae
Source: RNAcentral